UACGGGGGGAGCAAGCGUUGUUCGGAUUUACUGGGCGUAAAGGGCGCGUAGGCGGUCAGCACAAGUCAGUUGUGAAAUCUCCGGGCUUAACUCGGAAAGGUCAACUGAUACUGUGCGACUAGAGUGCGGAAGGGGCAACUGGAAUUCUCGGUGUAGCGGUGAAAUGCGUAGAUAUCGAGAGGAACACCUGCGGCGAAGGCGGGUUGCUGGGCCGACACUGACGCUGAGGCGCGAAAGCGUGGGGAGCGAACAGG
RNAcentral lists this ribosomal RNA (254 nucleotides) under uncultured bacterium. RNAcentral's name for it is "partial 16S ribosomal RNA". It matches the Rfam family "Bacterial small subunit ribosomal RNA", at positions 524 to 776 of the family's 1533-position model. The record is from RNAcentral.